AGGGCGCAAGGGGAAUGCCUUGGCACUGAGAGCCGACGAAGGACGCGACAAGCUGCGAUAAGCUACGGGGAGCCGCAAAUGGGCUUUGAUCCGUGGAUUUCCGAAUGGGGAAACCCGAUGGAGCAAUACUCCAUCAACCAUGACUGAAUACAUAGGUCAUGGUGGGGAACCGCCUGAACUGAAACAUCUAAGUAGGGCGAGGAAGAGAAAUCAACCGAGAUUCCGCUAGUAGUGGCGAGCGAACGCGGAAGAGGCCAAACCGGAGGUAGCAAUAUUUCCGGGGUUAGGACUGCAAUAUGUAACUUUAAUCUUUAACUGAAUGCUUUGGGAAGAGCAGCGAUACAGGGUGACAGCCCCGUACACAAAAAUGCACAUGCUGUGAGCUCGAUGAGUAGGGCGGGACACGUGGUAUCCUGUCUGAAUAUGGGGGGACCAUCCUCCAAGGCUAAAUACUCCUGACUGACCGAUAGUGAACCAGUACCGUGAGGGAAAGGCGAAAAGAACCCCGGCGAGGGGAGUGAAAAAGAACCUGAAACCGUGUACGUACAAGCAGUGGGAGCCUCUUUAAUGGGGUGACUGCGUACCUUUUGUAUAAUGGGUCAGCGACUUAUAUUCUGUAGCAAGGUUAACCGAAUAGGGGAGCCGAAGGGAAACCGAGUCUUAACUGGGCGUUAAGUUGCAGGGUAUAGACCCGAAACCCGGUGAUCUAGCCAUGGGCAGGUUGAAGGUUGGGUAACACUAACUGGAGGACCGAACCGACUAAUGUUGAAAAAUUAGCGGAUGACUUGUGGCUGGGGGUGAAAGGCCAAUCAAACCGGGAGAUAGCUGGUUCUCCCCGAAAGCUAUUUAGGUAGCGCCUCGUGAAUUCAUCUCCGGGGGUAGAGCACUGUUUCGGCAAGGGGGUCAUCCCGACUUACCAACCCGAUGCAAACUGCGAAUACCGGAGAAUGUUAUCACGGGAGACACACGGCGGGUGCUAACGUCCGUCGUGAAGAGGGAAACAACCCAGACCGCCAGCUAAGGUCCCAAAGUCAUGGUUAAGUGGGAAACGAUGUGGGAAGGCCCAGACAGCCAGGAUGUUGGCUUAGAAGCAGCCAUCAUUUAAAGAAAGCGUAAUAGCUCACUGGUCGAGUCGGCCUGCGCGGAAGAUGUAACGGGGCUAAACCAUGCACCGAAGCUGCGGCAGCGACACUAUGUGUUGUUGGGUAGGGGAGCGUUCUGUAAGCCGUUGAAGGUGUGCUGUGAGGCAUGCUGGAGGUAUCAGAAGUGCGAAUGCUGACAUAAGUAACGAUAAAGCGGGUGAAAAGCCCGCUCGCCGGAAGACCAAGGGUUCCUGUCCAACGUUAAUCGGGGCAGGGUGAGUCGACCCCUAAGGCGAGGCCGAAAGGCGUAGUCGAUGGGAAACAGGUUAAUAUUCCUGUACUUGGUGUUACUGCGAAGGGGGGACGGAGAAGGCUAUGUUGGCCGGGCGACGGUUGUCCCGGUUUAAGCGUGUAGGCUGAUUUUCCAGGCAAAUCCGGAGAAUCAAGGCUGAGGCGUGAUGACGAGGCACUACGGUGCUGAAGCAACAAAUGCCCUGCUUCCAGGAAAAGCCUCUAAGCAUCAGGUAACAUCAAAUCGUACCCCAAACCGACACAGGUGGUCAGGUAGAGAAUACCAAGGCGCUUGAGAGAACUCGGGUGAAGGAACUAGGCAAAAUGGUGCCGUAACUUCGGGAGAAGGCACGCUGAUAUGUAGGUGAAGCGACUUGCUCGUGGAGCUGAAAUCAGUCGAAGAUACCAGCUGGCUGCAACUGUUUAUUAAAAACACAGCACUGUGCAAACACGAAAGUGGACGUAUACGGUGUGACGCCUGCCCGGUGCCGGAAGGUUAAUUGAUGGGGUCAGCCGCAAGGCGAAGCUCUUGAUCGAAGCCCCGGUAAACGGCGGCCGUAACUAUAACGGUCCUAAGGUAGCGAAAUUCCUUGUCGGGUAAGUUCCGACCUGCACGAAUGGCGUAAUGAUGGCCAGGCUGUCUCCACCCGAGACUCAGUGAAAUUGAACUCGCUGUGAAGAUGCAGUGUACCCGCGGCAAGACGGAAAGACCCCGUGAACCUUUACUAUAGCUUGACACUGAACAUUGAGCCUUGAUGUGUAGGAUAGGUGGGAGGCUUUGAAGUGUGGACGCCAGUCUGCAUGGAGCCGACCUUGAAAUACCACCCUUUAAUGUUUGAUGUUCUAACGUGGACCCGUGAUCCGGGUUGCGGACAGUGUCUGGUGGGUAGUUUGACUGGGGCGGUCUCCUCCUAAAGAGUAACGGAGGAGCACGAAGGUUGGCUAAUCCUGGUCGGACAUCAGGAGGUUAGUGCAAUGGCAUAAGCCAGCUUGACUGCGAGCGUGACGGCGCGAGCAGGUGCGAAAGCAGGUCAUAGUGAUCCGGUGGUUCUGAAUGGAAGGGCCAUCGCUCAACGGAUAAAAGGUACUCCGGGGAUAACAGGCUGAUACCGCCCAAGAGUUCAUAUCGACGGCGGUGUUUGGCACCUCGAUGUCGGCUCAUCACAUCCUGGGGCUGAAGUAGGUCCCAAGGGUAUGGCUGUUCGCCAUUUAAAGUGGUACGCGAGCUGGGUUUAGAACGUCGUGAGACAGUUCGGUCCCUAUCUGCCGUGGGCGCUGGAGAACUGAGGGGGGCUGCUCCUAGUACGAGAGGACCGGAGUGGACGCAUCACUGGUGUUCGGGUUGUCAUGCCAAUGGCACUGCCCGGUAGCUAAAUGCGGAAGAGAUAAGUGCUGAAAGCAUCUAAGCACGAAACUUGCCCCGAGAUGAGUUCU
This 2807-nucleotide ribosomal RNA is filed under the name human gut metagenome. Its description in RNAcentral is "bacterial LSU rRNA". It matches the Rfam family "Bacterial large subunit ribosomal RNA". The record is from RNAcentral.